This is a long non-coding RNA of Saccoglossus kowalevskii, 433 nucleotides long. The record is from RefSeq and is a predicted model, not a curated record. Lineage: Eukaryota; Metazoa; Hemichordata; Enteropneusta; Harrimaniidae.
GAAAACCGUUUGCCACGUUCUAGAAAUAUACACUUUGUUCCCACUGCAGCAUAGUGUAUACACAGAAGAAGUAUUCACUUCCAACACGACAUAUCUGAAUAACAUGAUGACUAUGAAGCUCACCCCCCUGUUGGUUGUCAUUCUGCUGGGUACAAUGGUACUGGAAUGUGAAUCACAUGAUGAUGAAAAUGAAAGAAAUGCUUGGAAAUUACAUUACAAUGUGCAACGAAGCGCUGGGGCGGAAUUUUUGCGUCUCCCUGGAAGUCACAUCCAAGAAGUAGUACGAAGUACAUGGAAGGAGCUAUAAAGUCAUCCAUAUGGUUAUUGAAUUAUGUUAAUAUAUGUAUGUUAAGUGUAUGUAAGAGAUGCCAGCAUUAAGAUUGUAUAUCUUCAAAAUAUGUAUCAAGCAUUAAAUGUCUCAUAUUAGCAACAG